Malania oleifera is the source of this 1999-nucleotide RNA transcript. It is a transcript of the gene named AP-4 complex subunit mu, with no coding region annotated. The transcript has 15 exons. NCBI's taxonomy places the organism in Eukaryota, Viridiplantae, Streptophyta, Magnoliopsida, Santalales, Ximeniaceae. The record is from RefSeq and is a predicted model, not a curated record.
GAACGAGAGCAGCCGAACACUAACAAGUCUUCAGUCUAAUAAAAUAAAAAAUAAAAGUAUAGAACAGGCCAGAGUUUUUUCAUGUAGCAAAAGGCAAAAACAAACCAGAUCGGUGAAACGCAGCACGAUACACCGCAGCUGAAUCAUGAUCUCGCAGUUCUUCGUGCUCUCCCAGAGAGGCGAUAACAUCGUCUUCCGCGACUAUCGGGGUGAAGUACAAAAAGGAAGCGCCGAGAUAUUUUUCCGCAAAGUGAAGUUUUGGAAGGAGGAUGAAGAAGGAGAGGCACCACCUGUCUUUAAUGUGGAUGGUGUGAACUACUUUCAUGUUAAGGUUGCUGGUCUACUGUUUGUUGCAACUACUAGAGUUAAUGUGUCACCUUCUCUUGCUCUGGAACUUCUACAAAGAAUUGCACGCGUCAUCAAAGAUUACCUUGGUGUUCUUAAUGAAGAUUCAUUGAGGAAAAAUUUUGUGCUUGUGUAUGAGCUGCUGGACGAAGUCAUUGAUUUUGGUUACGUACAAACAACAUCUACAGAAGUGUUGAAGUCAUAUGUAUUUAAUGAACCAAUUGUUAUUGAUGCAGCACGUUUGCCCCCGCUUGGUGCUGCUGCUAUUUUUGUGCAAGGGUCCAAAAGAAUGCCAGGAACAGCUAUUACAAAAUCUGUUGUAGCAAAUGAGCCCGGGGGGCGGAAGAGGGAGGAAAUUUUUGUUGACAUCAUUGAGAAAAUAAGUAUUACAUUCAGUUCAAGUGGAUAUAUACUUACUUCUGAGAUUGAUGGAACCAUUCAAAUGAAGAGUUAUCUUACUGGCAACCCAGAAAUUAGACUUGCUCUUAACGAGGAUGUGACUAUAGGAAGAAAUGGAAGAUCAGUCUAUGAUUAUAGUAGCUCAUUGGGUUCAGGAGCUGUGAUACUAGAUGACUGUAACUUCCAUGAAUCUGUGCAUCUUGAUAGUUUUGACAUUGACAGAACUUUGUCCCUGAUACCACCGGAUGGCGAAUUUCCUGUCAUGAAUUAUCGCAUGACUCAGGAAUUCAAGCCUCCGUUUCGUAUUAAUGCUUUGAUUGAAGAAGCAGGAGCUCUUAGGGCUGAAGUUAUUGUCAAAGUGCGUGCUGAAUUCCCAUCAAAUAUUACUGCAAACACAAUUAUGGUACAGAUGCCACUACCAACAUAUACAACUAGGGCUAGUUUUGAGUUGGAACCUGGAGCAGUUGGGAACACAACUGACUUUAAGGAGGGAAAUAAGAGACUAGAAUGGGGAUUAAGGAAGAUUGUUGGUGGAUCUGAACAUACACUGCGUGCAAAGCUGACAUUCUCACAGGAAUUCCAUGGAAAUAUAACAAAGGAAGCUGGACCUGUUAGCAUGACCUUCACAAUACCAAUGUACAAUGCUUCAAGGCUUCAGGUUAAAUACUUGCAGAUAGCUAAGAAGUCCAAAACUUACAAUCCGUAUCGAUGGGUGAGAUACGUAACGCAAGCGAAUUCCUACGUUGCCCGGAUAUGAGGGGAUAAAAGCAUUUACCCCCAUUUUCCCUUGUUGCUUCUGUUUGAUUCCUUUCUUGAAGACUUGAGCAGUUAUGGCUGGAGGUUGUGCAGCCUGAAAGCCGUACUCGACAAUGGCUAGCAGACCACUACCGAGUCAAAAAUGUCGGUAAGUACGAUGGCCCACCACACCCUGAUCUGGACUGCCAGGUGGACGUCUACAACUUUACACUGAAAGUCACAUCAACUAUCUAUCUCCCACCCCCUCUACUUACAGGGGCGGUUAGCACAAGUCUGAACAUAAUAAUCUGAUCUAUAUAGCUAUGGUACCGUGCUCCUGUAACUAAACUGAACUAUCAUCCGGCAUCUGAUAAUAUAUAAUACAUGAUAAUGUAUAGUUUAAUGUAAAUAGAUUGAUAGCAUUUUUUGUAAUAUCAUAAAUACAUACGGCUUUGUGCUGAUUACUUUGACAUCUGCGGCCUUGCGUCGAACAUUUCAUAAAUACGACCUUGUGUAGAAA